AGCUUUGCGCAGUGGCGAUAUCGUAACCAAUGAGGUCCUACCGAGGUGCGAUUAUUGCUAGUUGAAAACUUUUACCAAUACCACGCCAUGACGAUGUGAAAACUGCCUUUGCGAUAGCGAUUCGUUAUAGUUACGAGUUAUGCGCAAAAUAUUGC
Small nuclear RNA from Odontomachus brunneus, 155 nucleotides. RefSeq annotates it as U4 spliceosomal RNA. The record is from RefSeq and is a predicted model, not a curated record. The transcript has a single exon. NCBI's taxonomy places the organism in Eukaryota, Metazoa, Arthropoda, Insecta, Hymenoptera, Formicidae.